CAUACGCGCAACCUGGGUCACCAUGGUCCAUCACCACCGGAUCUCUUCAGAUACUUCUUGACCGGCAUCAGAUUCACCUCCAGAUCUCUAACAGGUAGCUUCCGGGGAUUAGGUCGUUGAAGUGCAACUGACGAGCUUUCCACCUCCUCAACACCUUCGUGCACGAGAUCCUUACCAGCCUUUCUCAGUCUUCAAGGAUGUGGCAGAUGGCCGCAGCAAAGACCUUCAUGUUCCAGGCAGAGAUCAACUAUCUCCUAAGCUUGAUUACCAACACUUUCUGCAACAACAAGGAGUUCCUUCGUGAACUAAUCCACAACUGAUCUCAUGCUAAAGUUUCCUUUACUCUCACAAGGGACGUCAGUAGAGAGCAACUUGGCAGAGGAACCAAAGUCACACCGUUCCUCAAGGAGGAUGAGGUAGGAUACUUUCCAAUCUUCAUUUGAAUUAUGUAGCAUUUGUGUGCUUUUAGCAGAGUAACAUAGUGGUCAAUCGGUCACUGAGUAUAGUUGAUGUUAAGUUGGAUUAUUUGGAGGAGAGAAAAAUCAAGGACCUUGUGAAGAAGCAUUUCGACUUACUCAGUUACCCCAUUUAUGAAUAUGCUAUGGGGCAAUUGAAGGAAUAUGAUGGGAAGAAGCUGGUCUCAGUCCCUAAUGAGGGACUGAAACUUGACGACAAGACCGAAGAGGAGAAGAAAAAGGAGUCUUGCAAGAACCUGUGCAAGAACAUUAAGGACAUUCUCCGGGACAAGGUGGAAAAGGUUGUCAUCUCCGACAGAAUUGUGGUCUCGUCUUGCUGCCUGGUGACUAGAGAGUAUGGGAGGCAAACAUAAAAAGAAUCGUGAAAGCUCAGGCCCUCAGAGACAACUGCAUGGGCUCCUACAUGUCGAGGAAGAAGAUUAUGGAAAUUAAUCUCGACAAUGUAAUCAUGGAGGAGUUGAGGAAGAUACCUGAGGCCGAUAAGAAUGACAAGUCGAGGAAGAGAAUAUUCACUAAAAAUUUUAUAAAUCAAGAUGUAUCUUUUGGAUUGGGAGAAGUGAUAAUUAUGCCAAGCUCUAUCUAUUGAUGUUUACAUA
Molecule: long non-coding RNA, 1072 nt
Organism: Eucalyptus grandis
Lineage: Eukaryota; Viridiplantae; Streptophyta; Magnoliopsida; Myrtales; Myrtaceae
Exons: 2
Source: RefSeq, a predicted model, not a curated record